AUGGACGCGGACGCGCUGCUGGAGAAGAUACGGGUGCUGGAGGAGGGGCAGGCCGAGCUCAAGCGGGAGAUAGGCAAGCUCACGACGGGCCGCCGCGACGCCGACGCCGGGCGCCGCGCUUUCCGCGCGCUGCCGCCGCAGCCGCAGCGGCGGCGGGUUGGCCAGCAGGCACUGCCACUGGAAGUGGGUACUGCAGUCGCUGGCGCAGGCCGUGCACAUCAUUGGCCCCGACGGCAAGUUCCUGUACUGCAAAAAUCGUCAUCCAGACUAUAUUUACAGGGAAGUGCUGGAGAGGCAAGUUUCCUGUUAAGAACAAGUCAGGAGACAGGUUUUUUAUCCUUGGCCAGAACACCCUUUUAUACGGUGACGAUGGUAGCUUGGUGGGCCUUAUUGGUAUCUCGCAUGAUUUACGGACAUUAG
Molecule: ribosomal RNA, 420 nt
Filed under: Triticum aestivum (bread wheat)
Lineage: Eukaryota; Viridiplantae; Streptophyta; Magnoliopsida; Poales; Poaceae
Description: partial small subunit ribosomal RNA
Source: RNAcentral